UACAGAGGUCUCGAGCGUUAGGCGGAAUCACUGGGCUUAAAGCGUGUGUAGGCGGAUCGUUAAGUACCUUGUGAAAUCCCACGGCUCAACCGUGGAACCGCUGGGUAUACUGGUUGUCUUGAGCCGGCUAGGGGCGAGCGGAACAGACGGUGGAGCGGUGAAAUGCGUAGAUAUCGUCUGGAACGCCGAAGGUGAAAACAGCUCGCUGGGGCCGCGCUGACGCUGAGACACGAAAGCCAGGGGAGCGAACGGG
Molecule: ribosomal RNA, 253 nt
Filed under: uncultured bacterium
Lineage: Bacteria
Description: partial 16S ribosomal RNA
Rfam family: Bacterial small subunit ribosomal RNA
Source: RNAcentral